GUAUUCAAAACAAAAAGUAGAAAAAGAGGAGGCUAGGUUAAAAAGUGAUGCCAGCCAGAAAUUAGGGUUUUACGUACGUCGAUGUUUCUCUUUGCCCUCUUCUUCGCCCUAACCUCGCAAAAGAACUCCCGGGCGCCGGCUCGUCUCUCACUUUCCCUCUUCCAAACCAAAGAAAUUUUCCAGCCACCGGAAGAUCCGCCGCCGUCCGACACCAUGUCGUACAGGUUCGCCCACCACAGGAGAAACUUCGAAUUAGCUACUACUUGAUUUGGCUUGGGAGGUAUUGGAAAAAAAAGAUAGCUUAGAUGGCCCCAAAGCAGAGUAGAGACAAAGCACCUGCUGUUGGCCCUACUAAUAUGGUCAACGGAAGGUGUUACUUCAGCCACUUUGUCAAUUUUAUGGUCACCUUAAUCCGGUCUACGUAUCGUGAUCAGAAAGAAAGGAUUAGUGGUACUCCUUUUGAGCAUAUGCUAGGUCUACCAUAUAUAAAACAAAGUAGGCCUGUGUUGGACACAUUGCUCUCCUUUUGGGAUGAUGUUGAGAAGGAUUUUUGGUUUGGUAGAGUUCUAGUGCCUUUUAUAGGGAUUGAUUUGGCACUGAUCCUUGGUUUGAGUGCGUCGGGUGAUGGGGUCGAAUUGCAUAGAAAGGGGAGGGUUACGUCUGACCUCAUCAUCCGAUUUUUUGAGGGUGACCACAAAAAGGCCGAUAGAGAUGUAGUUAAAAAUAGAUUGCAAUUCCUUGUUGGUAAGUCUGGAUGACAAGAUGUAGAGGAUUUCAUGAAAUUAUGGGUUCUAUAUCUCUUUGGGACUAUCCUCUUUCCAACCGUACAAUACUAUGUUCCUAAGGCAUUAUGUUCAUAUUUUGAUGAUUUAGACUGCUUAGGUUCAUAUAGUUGGAGUUUUGUCGUUUUCUCUUUUCUUCGCCAGCAGAUAUCUAGUCUAGCCGACUGUUUGAGGACAAGAAACAUCACCGGCGAAAGAUAAGAUCUGAUAGAUAUAUGGAUGACUGCACGGUCGCUCUGGUGGUAUGGGCUGUUAAGCAUGCGAAUAGUAUUGUUGGAAGCCACCGGCCACCGUUUAUGUAUCCACGUCUCCUACGUUGGAACAAUACCCCAUUCCCUCGCAAGGUGGAUGUGAUUGCCGAUGUUACGAAGAACUUAAAACGAUUUGAGGUGAUCGAGAAGCUACAACCUAGAAAGGAGGAGUUGCACCUUCUCUCGCAAGGAAGGCUACAACUAGUUCGUCCGAUAGAGAAGAGUUAAAGAACUGCAAAAAGGUAUGCAUGUUGGAACUCAGGUUCCGUCAUCCAGCUAUAGUGAUCGACAUCCAAUGGAAAGCGUACAGACACGUAUCACAGUGCUUGAGAGGUGUUUGAUAGAACAUGACUUUAGUUUACCAGACCCUCAAACUUUUGGGGAUGUCGAAGGGAAGGACGAUAGUUGCAUAGAACUGAUCAAUAAAAGGGUGUCGCGAAUAGAGAAGGUCCUACGAGAUAAAAGCCUUCUGGUGGAUGACAAACCUAGUGAGCAUGCUACAGUUUCCGUUGAGGUGAAGGAGCAUACUGCAGCUGGUGAAGCUAUGGACCAAGCUGCUGUUGAGAAAGAUGAUAUGCAGCAUAGUGCAGAUUCAGUAGAGGUUAUUUGGUCUACUGAUGCUGAGGCCAAGAAGGAACAUGGAGCUCUGACCAAAUAUGUUUCCUCCGUAUGCAAGCGCGUCAAGUUGGGAGCAUGCAAGCGGAAGGCAACAGAAAAAGCUAGGGCCAUAUCAGAGCUUCCAAAGGCUUAUUGGCAAAAUAGGUGAAGGUAGUAUGACAAUUACCAUUAAAAAGGAGGAUUUGCCCGCUCGGUCAAGUAACUUAUUGGAGCCUAUCACUAUUGCAUUAAUGGAGCUCCACAAGUCAAUUCCAGCAAGGGAGGAAACAUCCUCCUGAGAGCGGCAUCUUUUGUGCGAUCAUGGCUAAACGACUGCGUCGGAUACCAUAUCCUUGAAUUAACCUAUUAUGAAAUUUGAGAAUGCGCACAACAAAAGCUCGAUAGUGUCGAUUGCGGGGCAUACGUGCUUAUGUUUGCAGAGGCAUUGACGCGAGGCACCUCGAGACCAUUGCAGGAACAAUUCAAGGAUCCUUUUUUAUACAAGAGUUGGUUUGUAGGGACUAUUCUGUUAAAUUUCCGCUGCAUUGCAUUUGAUAGGUUUUGGUCAAUGUACGGACUGAAGUCAAGUAGAAAGAGAGGUUAGACUAUAUGUUGUAAAAGAUGAUUGUAAGAUGAGUGCAUUUUCAUUUUUUAUGUAAUAUAACAUUUUAACAGAAAAGAUGAUUAUGUUAAUUAUGUUCA
This is a non-coding RNA of Phoenix dactylifera (date palm), 2332 nucleotides long. NCBI's taxonomy places the organism in Eukaryota, Viridiplantae, Streptophyta, Magnoliopsida, Arecales, Arecaceae. The record is from RefSeq and is a predicted model, not a curated record.